RNAcentral lists this ribosomal RNA (478 nucleotides) under uncultured bacterium. RNAcentral describes it as "partial 16S ribosomal RNA". It matches the Rfam family "Bacterial small subunit ribosomal RNA", at positions 28 to 523 of the family's 1533-position model. The record is from RNAcentral.
GACGAACGCUGGCGGCGUGCUUAACACAUGCAAGUCGAACGGUAAGGCCCUUCGGGGUACACGAGUGGCGAACGGGUGGGUAACACGUGGGUGAUCUGCCCUGCACUUCGGGAUAAGCCUGGGAAACUGGGUCUAAUACCGGAUAGGACUACUGCCAGCAUGGGUGGUGGUGGAAAGCUUUUGCGGUGUGGGAUGGGCCCGCGGCGUAUCAGCUUGUUGGUGGGGUGAUGGCUUACCAAGGCGACGGCGGGUAGCCGGCCUGAGAGGGUGACCGGCCACACUGGGACUGAGACACGGCCCAGAGUCCUACGGGAGGCAGCAGUGGGGAAUAUUGCACAAUGGGGGCAAGCCUGAUGCAGCGACGCCGCGUGAGGGAUGACGGCCUUCGGGUUGUAAACCUCUUUCAGCACCGACGAAGCGCAAGUGACGGUAGGUGCAGAAGAAGGACCGGCCAACUACGUGCCAGCAGCCGCGGUAA